AUGAAUUGCAGUUGUGGUUGGCCUUGGCUUCUUGAUAAGAUAUGCAUUUUAGUAUCUCUUUUAGCUUUACAGAUUGACCCUUUUAAUAAGAGGCAACUCACCCUUUCCCCUGCCUCAGCACAAGUGACUGAUUCCUUUAACUUCCCAUCUUCCAGGAUCUGCCUUGGAGACAAGUCCCAGAAAGGUGGCCAGCUGAUCCAAAGUCUCCUGAUCAAUUCAAUGAUGGUCCAUCUAUCUCAUGCUGUUUGGAUUCUGAGGAGGAUAGAGAAAAGGCUCCCCCAAGAAGGAAAGGCAUGGGUUUGGGCACAAAAACAACAGCCGCAACAGCAGCAACAACAACUCAUCAGCUCAUGUCUUCUUGGCUUUUGGUAAGGAGACUAACAGAAAUAUGCCCUCCCAAGCACAGUGAAGAAAAAAAAAAGUUCUUCUCUAGACCUUCCCAGAGGGAUAACGUUUCUGUUAAGAAUUUUGGAAGAAUGGGUAGGACCCAGCAGAAGGGGAGGUGAGAGCAGAGAGAAAAGACAUCCAAGUCAAGGCAACACUGUGUAAAAUGCAGCCAUUCAGGAACUGAGAACAGUUCAUUGUGGAUAAAGCCUGGGGUGUCGGGCCAGGAAAUUUCCUGGUUUGUUAAGGAAUUUGGAUUUCACAAUGUAAAUUAUGGAGUCCAUUUGAAAUAGAUAAUUGAUAUGAAUAGGCUGCAGUUUUGAAGAAUCAGUCUUGGAGUUAGAGGAUAGAUAUGGGCAGAUGUGAUCAGAAGCAGGGAUGAGAGCCAGCAAUAUUCCAAGUGAGAAAAGCAGGAGAGUUGAGCUUAUGCAGGAGCAGUGAGAACAGAAUAAAAAUUGUCAUAAUCUACUGGAAGUGAGAAUUGAGAGAUAAGGAGGAGUUCUUCAUAUUGUACCAAGAAAAAUCUUUGCAAAAAGUAGUUAUGAUAAUCCACUCACCUUGCUUAAAAUGCCUUCAUUGCUUUCAUGUUCUUCUUAGACAAAAAGAUAAAAUUCCUUAUCUAUUUACUUUUGCAUCUCUAGUAUUUAUUAUACAAUAGACACUAAAGAAGUACAAAUAUUCUGCAUCCCAUCUCCUCCCUCUCCUAUGAGUAUGUGCCAUUUAAAUUGAUCUAUUUUGCC
Molecule: long non-coding RNA, 1124 nt
Filed under: Macaca fascicularis (crab-eating macaque)
Lineage: Eukaryota; Metazoa; Chordata; Mammalia; Primates; Cercopithecidae
Description: lncRNA (ENSMFAG00000053696.1)
Source: RNAcentral